UUUGCUCAGGAGCCCAAGUGAAGGGUAAAGUUAGAUAUAGAGACCUGGGUCUGAGACAGUUAACAUACAAGACAAAAAAUACUGAGCUUAUGGAAACACUGUUCUCUUUUAAAGUAAAAAUGUUUUUUUUGUUUGCCAACACACACAUUU
Molecule: long non-coding RNA, 150 nt
Organism: Octopus sinensis (East Asian common octopus)
Lineage: Eukaryota; Metazoa; Mollusca; Cephalopoda; Octopoda; Octopodidae
Exons: 4
Source: RefSeq, a predicted model, not a curated record